Molecule: ribosomal RNA, 445 nt
Filed under: uncultured bacterium
Lineage: Bacteria
Description: bacterial SSU rRNA
Rfam family: Bacterial small subunit ribosomal RNA
Source: RNAcentral
UGGGGAAUCUUGGACAAUGGGCGCAAGCCUGAUCCAGCCAUGCCGCGUGAGUGACGAAGGUCUUCGGAUUGUAAAGCUCUUUUGGCGGGGACGAUAAUGACGGUACCCGCAGAAUAAGCCCCGGCUAACUUCGUGCCAGCAGCCGCGGUAAUACGAAGGGGGCUAGCGUUGUUCGGAAUUACUGGGCGUAAAGCGCACGUAGGCGGAUCUAUAAGUCAGGGGUGAAAUCCCGGGGCUCAACCUCGGAACUGCCUUUGAUACUGUAGAUCUCGAGUCCGGAAGAGGUGAGUGGAAUUCCUAGUGUAGAGGUGAAAUUCGUAGAUAUUAGGAAGAACACCAGUGGCGAAGGCGGCUCACUGGUCCGGUACUGACGCUGAGGUGCGAAAGCGUGGGGAGCAAACAGGAUUAGAUACCCCCGUAGUCCCUGAGCGGGCUGGCAAGGCGC